GUACUAUGAUAAUUCAACUAAGUGAUUUAGGUCAAGUUCACCU
This 43-nucleotide ribosomal RNA is filed under the name Streptococcus pneumoniae GA19690. RNAcentral's name for it is "partial 23S ribosomal RNA". The record is from RNAcentral. Lineage: Bacteria; Bacillati; Bacillota; Bacilli; Lactobacillales; Streptococcaceae.